This 521-nucleotide ribosomal RNA is filed under the name uncultured Glomus. RNAcentral's name for it is "SSU rRNA". It matches the Rfam family "Eukaryotic small subunit ribosomal RNA", at positions 569 to 1092 of the family's 1831-position model. The record is from RNAcentral. Lineage: Eukaryota; Fungi; Glomeromycota; Glomeromycetes; Glomerales; Glomeraceae.
AGCAGCCGCGGUAAUUCCAGCUCCAAUAGCGUAUAUUAAAGUUGCUGCAGUUAAAAAGCUCGUAGUUGAAUUUCGGGACCAAUAUGUCGGUCGUGCAUCGGUACGUACUGGCAUCGUUGGUUUCUCCCUUCUGACGAACCAUGAUGUCAUUUAUUUGGUGUCGUGGGGAAUCAGGACUGUUACUUUGAAAAAAUUAGAGUGUUUAAAGCAGGCUCACGCUUGAAUACAUUAGCAUGGAAUAAUGAAAUAGGACGUUUGAUUCUAUUUUGUUGGUUUCUAGGAUCGACGUAAUGAUUAAUAGGGAUAGUUGGGGGCAUUAGUAUUCAAUUGUCAGAGGUGAAAUUCUUGGAUUUAUUGAAGACUAACUACUGCGAAAGCAUUUGCCAAGGAUGUUUUCAUUAAUCAAGAACGAAAGUUAGGGGAUCGAAGACGAUCAGAUACCGUCGUAGUCUUAACCAUAAACUAUGCCGACUAGGGAUCGGAUGAUGCUAAUUUUUUAAUGACUCAUUCGGCGCCUUACG